Mauremys reevesii (Reeves's turtle) is the source of this 448-nucleotide long non-coding RNA. RefSeq lists it as uncharacterized. The record is from RefSeq and is a predicted model, not a curated record. The transcript is spliced from 2 exons. NCBI's taxonomy places the organism in Eukaryota, Metazoa, Chordata, Testudines, Geoemydidae.
AAACCUGACCUAUGAGGAAAGGUUUUAAAAAAAAAAACUGGGCAAGUUUCAUCAUGAGAAAAGAAGACUGAGGGGAAAAUCUGAUAACAGGCUGUUACAGAGGAUGGUGAUCCAUUGUUCUCCACAUCCACUGAAGUGAUGGGAACAGGGGUGUGUGACUCUCUGGCUGAGACCUCUGGAGCAGCUGCCUGCACUUAUGCUAUGACCGGUGCCCUUCGUAACCUGAGACCCAGGAGGGGGAUGCAACCAGGUGACACUUUGCCUGGGAAGCGAGACUCGGAGGAGGAGCAACGGGGGUGUCUGAGGUUGGGUCGCCGGUAGCUGGGCAGUCUGCUUCUGGCCCAGGACUCCCCAAGAUGGACUUGGCUGAAAGUCACUAAUUUCUAUGCUAACAAGUUUCGUUCUACACUGUCUUCCUGUUGAAUAAUAAACCUUCUGUUAUGCUGGC